GACGAACGCUGGCGGCGUGCCUAACACAUGCAAGUCGAACGGAAAGGCCCUGCUUUUGUGGGGUGCUCGAGUGGCGAACGGGUGAGUAACACGUGAGUAACCUGCCCUUGACUUUGGGAUAACUUCAGGAAACUGGGGCUAAUACCGGAUAGGAGCUCCUGCUGCAUGGUGGGGGUUGGAAAGUUUCGGCGGUUGGGGAUGGACUCGCGGCUUAUCAGCUUGUUGGUGGGGUAGUGGCUUACCAAGGCUUUGACGGGUAGCCGGCCUGAGAGGGUGACCGGCCACAUUGGGACUGAGAUACGGCCCAGACUCCUACGGGAGGCAGCAGUGGGGAAUAUUGCACAAUGGGCGGAAGCCUGAUGCAGCAACGCCGCGUGCGGGAUGACGGCCUUCGGGUUGUAAACCGCUUUCGCCUGUGACGAAGCGUGAGUGACGGUAAUGGGUAGAGAAGCACCGGCUAACUACGUG
RNAcentral lists this ribosomal RNA (468 nucleotides) under uncultured bacterium. RNAcentral describes it as "partial 16S ribosomal RNA". It matches the Rfam family "Bacterial small subunit ribosomal RNA", at positions 28 to 507 of the family's 1533-position model. The record is from RNAcentral.